UGUAAAUGAUGAAAAGUCUUUCCCUGACGUCUCAGUGAGGGUUAAAACUGAUUUAAUGAGCCUGAUGC
Molecule: small nucleolar RNA, 68 nt
Organism: Oryzias javanicus (javanese ricefish)
Lineage: Eukaryota; Metazoa; Chordata; Actinopteri; Beloniformes; Adrianichthyidae
Source: Ensembl